UUAGAAGCAGCCACCCUUUAAAGAAAGCGUAAUAGCUCACUAGUCGAGUCGGCCUGCGCGGAAGAUGUAACGGGGCUAAAACUAUGUGCCGAAGCUGCGGAUUUGACAUUAGUCAAGUGGUAGGGGAGCGUUCUGUAAGCCGAUGAAGGUGUAUUGAGAAGUAUGCUGGAGGUAUCAGAAGUGCGAAUGCUGACGUGAGUAACGACAAAACGGGUGAAAAACCCGUUCGCCGAAAGACCAAGGGUUCCAGUCCAACGUUAAUCGGGGCUGGGUGAGUCGACCCCUAAGGCGAGGCCGAAAGGCGUAGUCGAUGGGAAAAUGGUUAAUAUUCCAUUACUUCUGUGUAAUGCGAUGAGAGGACGGAGAAGGCUAAAUCAGCCUGGCGUUGGUUGUCCAGGUGAAAGGAUGUAGGCAUGUAUCUUAGGCAAAUCCGGGGUACUCUAUGCUGAGAUCUGAUAGCAAGCUGUACUUGUACAGCGAAGUGGUUGAUGCCAUGCUUCCAGGAAAAGUCUCUAAGCUUCAGUUACACAGGAAUCGUACCCGAAACCGACACAGGUGGUCAGGUCGAGUAGACCAAGGCGCUUGAGAGAACUCUGCUGAAGGAACUAGGCAAAAUGGUACCGUAACUUCGGGAGAAGGUACGCUGUUGUUGGUGAUGGAACUCGCUUCCUGAGCUGACGACAGCCGCAGAAACCAGGCCGCUGCAACUGUUUAUUAAAAACAUAGCACUCUGCAAACACGAAAGUGGACGUAUAGGGUGUGAUGCCUGCCCGGUGCUGGAAGGUUAAUUGAUGGGGUUAGCGUAAGCGAAGCUCUUGAUCGAAGCCCCAGUAAACGGCGGCCGUAACUAUAACGGUCCUAAGGUAGCGAAAUUCCUUGUCGGGUAAGUUCCGACCUGCACGAAUGGCAUAAUGAUGGCGGCGCUGUCUCCAGCAGAGGCUCAGUGAAAUCGAAAUCGCUGUGAAGAUGCAGUGUACCCGCGGCUAGACGGAAAGACCCCGUGAACCUUUACUGCAGCUUGACACUGAACUUUGACCUUACUUGUGUAGGAUAGGUGGGAGGCUUUGAAGCUGGAACGCUAGUUCCAGUGGAGCCGUCCUUGAAAUACCACCCUGGUAAUGUUGAGGUUCUAACUCUGUCCCGUGAUCCGGGACGAGGACCGUGUCUGGUGGGUAGUUUGACUGGGGCGGUCUCCUCCUAAAGAGUAACGGAGGAGUACGAAGGUGCGCUCAGCGUGGUCGGAAAUCACGCGUAGAGUAUAAAGGCAAAAGCGCGCUUAACUGCGAGACCCACAAGUCGAGCAGGUACGAAAGUAGGUCUUAGUGAUCCGGUGGUUCUGUAUGGAAGGGCCAUCGCUCAACGGAUAAAAGGUACUCUGGGGAUAACAGGCUGAUACCGCCCAAGAGUUCAUAUCGACGGCGGUGUUUGGCACCUCGAUGUCGGCUCAUCUCAUCCUGGGGCUGAAGCAGGUCCCAAGGGUAUGGCUGUUCGCCAUUUAAAGAGGUACGCGAGCUGGGUUUAGAACGUCGUGAGACAGUUCGGUCCCUAUCUACCGUGGGCGCUGGAAAUUUGAGAGGAUCUGCUCCUAGUACGAGAGGACCAGAGUGGACGAACCUCUGGUGUACCGGUUGUGACGCCAGUCGCAUCGCCGGGUAGCUAUGUUCGGAAGGGAUAACCGCUGAAAGCAUCUAAGCGGGAAGCCUACCUCAAGAUAAGAUUUCCCUAGGACUUUAUGUCCUCUAAAGAGCCGUUCGAGACUAGGACGUUGAUAGGUUGGAUGUGGAAGCAUAGUGAUAUGUGAAGCUGACCAAUACUAAUUGCUCGUGAGGCUUGACUAU
Molecule: ribosomal RNA, 1838 nt
Filed under: Acinetobacter baumannii
Lineage: Bacteria; Pseudomonadati; Pseudomonadota; Gammaproteobacteria; Moraxellales; Moraxellaceae
Description: partial 23S ribosomal RNA
Rfam family: Bacterial large subunit ribosomal RNA
Source: RNAcentral